GGGGAUGAAGGUUGAAUGGAUGCUGAAGGGUUUCCACACACUGCACCAGGUUGCAGAGUGGAAGGUGGUGGGUCCUUGACAGUGGAGACAAGGGGUACAGGGGGCCUAGUGGGAGUAAUGGGACACUGGCUGGUGGAUGGUGGAGGUGGUACAGGGGGCCUAGUGGUAGUAAUGGGGCACUGGCUGGUGGAUGGUGGUUUCACAAAACUGAGGUUUAGGGGUGCCGGCGACCUAGUGGGACAUGGAAUAGGAGGUUGGAGAAGCUUUGCAGCACAAGCUGGGCCACUGAAGAGAGCUGUUUGGAGAGAAGAUUGUAGAUGUGGUCAGUGUCACUCAAGAAUUAUUUCCUGUAUAUUCUUGUUCAUUAAGCAAAUGUGUACCUUUUGUUGUUUCAACCACUGAUACUUUCUCCAUGACAGAUGAAAGGAACAUUUGAUCUGGGGGAAUAAAUGAUAAAUAAAACACUUACACAAA
Molecule: long non-coding RNA, 474 nt
Organism: Carassius carassius (crucian carp)
Lineage: Eukaryota; Metazoa; Chordata; Actinopteri; Cypriniformes; Cyprinidae
Exons: 2
Source: RefSeq, a predicted model, not a curated record